UGGCGCACGGGUGAGUAACGCGUGGGUAAUCUUCCUCCGAAUCGGGGAUAACAUUGCGAAAGCGAUGCUAAUACCGGAUGAUAUUCCGAAGUCUCUGGACUUUGGAAUCAAAGGUGGUCUCUCCAUGGAAGCUACCGUUUGGAGAUGAGCCCGCGUCCCAUUAGCUUGUUGGUAGGGUAACGGCCUACCAAGGCUACGAUGGGUAGCUGGUCUGAGAGGAUGAUCAGCCACACUGGAACUGACACACGGUCCAGACUCCUACGGGAGGCAGCAGUGAGGAAUUUUGCGCAAUGGGGGAAACCCUGACGCAGCAACGCCGCGUGAGUGAUGAAGGCCUUCGGGUCGUAAAGCUCUGUCAAGUGGGAAGAACCCAUCCUGUAAUAAUACGACGGGAUGCUGACGGUACCACUGAAGGAAGCACCGGCUAACUCCGUGCCAGCAGCCGCGGUAAUACGGAGGGUGCAAGCGUUAUUCGGAAUUACUGGGCGUAAAGGGCGCGUAGGCGGCUUUUUAAGUCGGAUGUGAAAGCCCGGGGCUUAACCCCGGAAGUGCAUUCGAUACUGAGAAGCUUGAGUAUGGGAGAGGGAAGUGGAAUUCCUGGUGUAGAGGUGAAAUUCGUAGAUAUCAGGAGGAACACCUG
This 640-nucleotide ribosomal RNA is filed under the name uncultured delta proteobacterium. Its description in RNAcentral is "bacterial SSU rRNA". It matches the Rfam family "Bacterial small subunit ribosomal RNA", at positions 96 to 712 of the family's 1533-position model. Lineage: Bacteria; Deltaproteobacteria. The record is from RNAcentral.